CGAUGUACGAAUUGUGAAACCCAGUGUGAUUCGUCUCACUAUCUUUAACUGAAUACAUAGGUUAACGAUGCGAACCGGGGGAACUGAAACAUCUAAGUACCCCGAGGAAAAGAAAUCAACAGAGAUUCCCCCAGUAGCGGCGAGCGAACGGGGAGCAGCCCAGAGUCUGAAUCAGCUUGUGUGGUAGUGAGCGCUCACCGCGCUGCUGAUGAAAAAGCACCCCGUCGACUGACCCACCAGCG
Molecule: ribosomal RNA, 242 nt
Filed under: Klebsiella pneumoniae
Lineage: Bacteria; Pseudomonadati; Pseudomonadota; Gammaproteobacteria; Enterobacterales; Enterobacteriaceae
Description: partial 23S ribosomal RNA
Rfam family: Bacterial large subunit ribosomal RNA
Source: RNAcentral